RNAcentral lists this ribosomal RNA (273 nucleotides) under uncultured Synergistaceae bacterium. RNAcentral describes it as "partial 16S ribosomal RNA". It matches the Rfam family "Bacterial small subunit ribosomal RNA", at positions 1113 to 1382 of the family's 1533-position model. Lineage: Bacteria; Thermotogati; Synergistota; Synergistia; Synergistales; Synergistaceae. The record is from RNAcentral.
AGUUGCAACGGGUAGAGCCGGGCGACUCUGGCGGGACGUGCCAUCGACAAGAUGGAGGAAGGUGGGGAGUGACGUCAAGUCAUCAUGGCCCUUAUGUCCAGGGCGACACACGUGCUACAAUGGCCGGCACAGCGGGAAGCGAGGCAGUGAUGCCAAGCGGAUCCCUUAAAGCCGGUCUCAGUUCGGAUUGAAGUCUGCAACUCGACUUCAUGAAGCUGGAAUCGCUAGUAAUCGCAGAUCAGCCAAGCUGCGGUGAAUACGUUCCCGGGCCUU